UUCGAGGGGAGCAAGCGUUGUUCGGAAUCACUGGGCGUAAAGCGCGUGUAGGCGGCCCACUAAGUCUGAUGUGAAAGCCCGGGGCUCACCCCCGGAAGUGCAUUGGAAACUGGUGGACUCGAGUCCCGGAGAGGAGAGUGGAAUUCCUGGUGUAGCGGUUAAAUGCGUAGAUAUCAGGAGGAACACCGGUGGCGAAGGCGGCUCUCUGGACGGUGACUGACGCUGAGACGCGAAAGCGUGGGGAGCAAACAGG
Molecule: ribosomal RNA, 253 nt
Filed under: uncultured bacterium
Lineage: Bacteria
Description: partial 16S ribosomal RNA
Rfam family: Bacterial small subunit ribosomal RNA
Source: RNAcentral